This 254-nucleotide ribosomal RNA is filed under the name uncultured bacterium. RNAcentral describes it as "partial 16S ribosomal RNA". It matches the Rfam family "Bacterial small subunit ribosomal RNA", at positions 524 to 776 of the family's 1533-position model. The record is from RNAcentral.
UACGUAGGGGCCUAGCGUUGUCCGGAUUUAUUGGGCGUAAAGAGCUCGUAGGCGGUUCGGUAAGUCAGGUGUGAAAUCUCCACGCUCAACGUGGAGGCGCCACCUGAAACUGCCGUGACUCGAGUCCGGUAGGGGAGUGUGGAAUUCCCGGUGUAGCGGUGAAAUGCGCAGAUAUCUGGAGGAACACCGGUGGCGAAGGCGGCAUCCUGGACCGGCAUUGACGCUGAGGCGCGAAAGCCAGGGGAGCAAACGGG